AGACAUUCCAGGAGAUGAUACGGGAUUUUGAGAUCCACCAUCUUGUUCCAUCGUUGGAAGCUGGCUACGGAGAGCCAAUUCCUGAUGUUUUGGAGAAUUUGCUGUGCUGGGAUUCCGCAUUGCCUGCCGAAGCAGUUCUUGAUGCUUCAGUCUCAGCCUUUCCUUCUCCAUCUGUAGCUGCUGAAGUCUCAUCUGUUGUUGCUGAUUGGAGCUACUCCCACCCAUGACACCACCUUGGGGACUCUGAGGAGCCAGAGGGGGUGGCUGUUUCACUGGAGCACUUUGGCUGAUGCGCUGAUUCAUGGCAAAGCGUGGGUCAAGCCUUGGGUCUAGCCAAGAUGUUGUCUUGUUCUUAUGGUUUAUGUAGUAAAUUUCUCCAUCCUGGGUCAUAGCUUGUUCCCAUCCAUCGGGGAGUGGGCCUGAUGCUGAGUUCAUUAAGUUCUGUUGCACGGGAGGACUGGUGGGAGCUGUAACGUUCAUCUGGGAAAGCAUGGCCUUCCUGGGAUCUUGCCAUGUUGUUGUUUGAUCAAUAUGAUUAAGGAAGUAUCUCUGUCCAGAUGGUGUUUUGGCCAUCUCCCAGCCCGGUGGCAGAGGUACAUCAUCAGGGAUCUCAAAUGAAGACUGGCGGAGAUGCUGAGAAGACGGAGCUCCGGGUCCGGUCACUACUCCGGAGGGUGUGAGCGUCCCAGGGGAGACGGCCCCCAGCUGCAGUGAUGCUGGAGAGGAAUGAGCACGAACAUGCUGAGGGGUCAGGGCUCCUGCUGUCCCUGCGUCAGUGCUGGCCUGGCGGGAGUGAGCUUUGGGCUCGGGCGGCUUGAAGAAGGAGUCCGGCAGCUUGCGGAGCCGCAUGGGCAGCGUGUGCGGCACGUUGGCGCCCUUGGGGUUCAUCACGGCGUUGAAGAGAGCCUCCAGGUCGGUCUCGGAGUCGCCCCGCACAUGGACGAUCUGGUGCCCCGCCGGAGGGGGCCCCGCGCCCGGCGGCUGCGCGGCGCCUCCCGGAGCUCCCGACCCGCGCCCGGGGGCUGCGGGGCCGCCUGCUGCGGGGCCGGGGGCUGCGCCGCCUGCGGCGGCUGCUGCGGCUGAGGCUGCCCGGGAUCCAUGGCUGCGGCGGGACCCCCUGGCGCUUCCUCGCGGGGCUCGGCGGCUCAGAGCGCGCAGGGUCGGCCCCGCAUGCCCCGCGCCGCGGCUCGUCCCGCUGUCCCCGGCGCUUCCUACCCCUCGGCGGGGACGGGCGAAACGGCUGUGACCGCGCGGCGCUGCCCCGAGCCCGGCCCAGCCCGGCCGGCGCCUCCGUCCCGGCGGCGGAAACUAACUCGCACAACACUCCAAACAAAAGUUCGCAGUUACGCCCGCCCGAAUCACUCUCGGCGGCGGACUCCGCCCCUCCUGAGCCCGCCCGCACCGUAUCCGACCGAGACGGCCCUGCGCCGCGCUGCCCUCCUGCUCGCGCCCGCCCGCACCGCCUCCCGCCCACCGGGCGCCCCGAAGCAGAGGGAGCCGCCCGGCCCCCCCGGACCCGUAGCGCGCGGCCCGCGGUCGCCUCACGGCCGGGUUCGUCCCGCCGACUCAGCGCUCCUCUCCGCGCGCCCGCCCGCGCGUCUCCCUUCUGCCGCCCGCCCGGCCGUGGAACCGCGCCGCCAACCACAACUUUUAUUUCUCCCCAACUUCUCUCCUAACUUCCAGGCUCCCGCCGAGGGGGUGGGGAAGAGCUGCGGCGCUCCCCUCCCCCGCCGCCCCGGAAGGGGACAGCCCCCCUCUGUGAGAGAUGGGGGGGGGCGAAGGGGGGGAGAAGACCGUGGGUACGACCCCUCCCGCGGGACUGAGGCAGCGGGGCGCCGGGCCUCGGCCUCACCUGGCGGCGGGGCGCGGGGCGGCGGCCGUGCAGCUGAAGGGACGCGCACAGACGCAUCUGGAGAAGUUACUUUUAUUAGAUCGGUCAAAACUCGGAAAAACAGCAUCAGGAGGAUCAGAACUCAGGAGAAAAAAAGAACCAGAAGGGUCAAACCCCAGGAAAACAGCAACAAGGACCGCGCCUGACACGCGUUGCACGAAGCGUUCCGUCACCGACCGUCCCACCACAAGGGCGCGAGGCGCCGCGCAGCCCCCGCCCGCCCCGCCGAGCUCAGGGCGCGCCGCCCCCGAAGCGGUGGUACAGCGCGUGCACGUGGCGCCGGGCCGGGUCCAGCAGCAGAUAGGAGAAGGUCUGCGCGUGGGCUGUGCGCGACGGGUAGCACAGGCCGCUGCCGUCCUGAGGGGAGGGGAAAAGCGGCAGCGUUAGAUACAGCGCGGGUCCCACCGGGAGAGCCCAUAAAACCUGAGUGCAGUGCAGCUUUAGGUUCAACUCCGACAACUUACGGCGCAACGGAAGGAAGGAACGCUGUGGUUUAUGGAAGUAGCAUUUUGUCUCCAUUACAAUACUGACACUACAAAAUGCAGAUUAUCCAUCUCAGUAACUUUAUAACCUUAUGGCAAACGCAGCGUUAAUACAAAAUGUAGAAUUAAGCACAUAAGCGUAGGCUUGCACGAUUGGAGCCUAAAAUCCAGCUGAUUAAAUACACAAAGAUCCCAUCGCAUUCCAUUAAAAUACAAAAAAUAGGUACGGACUGCAUAUUAACACAUGAAGCCCUUCUACCAAUGAUUCUUUUUUACUUCGCGCUUAAGGAAAACCCCUCUGCAGCGCUUUGAACACCUCCGAGCUGCCACUGGAAGCAGUUUGUGUGCCAUUGCUCACAAAGUAUGCGAGGAGAAUCUCAACGCCCCGCCCCAAACCCGACUGUGGAAGAACGCCUCCAGCUGACAGCGGGCGCUGCGGUGGGCUCCUCGGGUCAGCACCCACUUCUGCUGCCCGGCUUCCCCCGGCAGCACAGCCCAACACACAGCACAGCCCAGGAAGCUGAGGGGAUUGUUUGGAGGUUGCUUUUUUUCUGUUGGUUGGGUUUUGAUGCGUUCAAUCUGGCAACUGAGCAUCCAAAAGAGCAAGGGAUACAUAGCUCACACAUCCUGUCUUUGAAAACCCAGUAUGGUUUCCUCCUGCUCCCCAACACCUUUUUGGACCAAGGAAUCAGGAAAGCUGCAACCUCUCCCUGUGGUUAUCGCUGUCAGCUCAGAAGGAAAAGAUCUGGGUUCUGAUUUCUGCUCCCAGGACCUUCUGUGAAAUGUAUCUGGUAGCUGUUGCAGGCACCCCAAUUUUGCUCCUGUUAUUUCAGAGGAUGAAACCCCUGCUGUACGCUGCGAUGUCUUCCUUUGGGUGAUUAUUCAAGAUGGUAAAUCUUAAAUUAAGAUAAGCACCACCAUAAAAGCAUUGUUUAAGACAGGUAGAGAUUUGAUAUGUUUAUUCACAGCAUUUUCUGAUGGUAGGCAAAUGCCGCCAGCUAAAAAUAGCAUUCUAUUUUUAAAGAACCCAGCACACAAGCUCCAUAGCUCUCAGGUUUAGACACCUAACUCUCUAUAGAUGUUUUAUGGGGAUACGUGUGUAUCAGAUACUGGAUUCUCUAUUGCAGUAAGGAGAGCAAGCUUUAAGACAUAACAGCAUCCAGCAUCACAAUGCCUUGGAGUUUAACCCAAAAGUAACCUAAGCUCACACACAGAACUAACUCAAAACACCGACAUUGAGACACAACUGCUAGUUACACUUGUUUGCAUUGCUACUGAAGAUCCCACUUAGCAGUCCUUACUGAAUUGAUCGAUCUCAGCUCCAUUUUUGACUGUUUAAAGGCAGCAGUUGCGCACUGGAAGUUUACUCAUCAACUUAAGAACAAAAAUAAAUUAAGUUCUGAUGAUAUUUCAAGAAAUUCCAGAGUAUAACAAACCUGGGAUGAGGAAAAUAAUCUGAUCAAGUUCUUAAAUUUGUCCUAGUUAGUAAGGGGGCUAUUUAAAACAAAGAAACAACAAGAAAAAGCACCUAAAAGCCUUGAGUGUAACAGCAUUAGAAUGUACGUAGCGUUACUGUGAUCAUUACAGCAGUGGGGUAGGUGUACGUGGGCUAAGAGUCGUUCCAAUUCCAUCUGCAGUUUGGUUCAGACAUGCAGUGGAUGCAAUAGCUGAUUUACUGAUACAGACUAGGAUCAUUUCGUUUUCAACUCAUACAGGUAAUCUGCAGAUGACUGAAAGAUGAAACGUGCAGCGUAAUGCUGAAAUAAGGAUAUUGCUGAGCAUCUCUCAGCACAGCACCACUUAACCGUCAGUUUAAAAGAAUUUUUGAAGAAGCCAUUUAUUACUUCUGAUUCCCAGCAGCGCUACAGUUGGCCUUCAGGUAAGGAAAGUUCUAAGACAGCAGUUUGCAUCCAAAUACUUCAGCUACAGGACAGUUUCAUUUUACGCCAGCGCCAAAGCUCUUAGUGCUUGGUCACAAGACUCAAAGUGAUUUCUCCCAUCAUGACCAGUUCUACAAAGUUUUGAUGCUAAACAGAUCUACAGACAUUCAUAGCUACACCCUACUACUCUGAAAUAUUGAGAUCCGACUACCUUGUUCUAAACUGCUUUUAAUCAUGCCAUAUUCCUUUCAUCAUCAGUUUCCAUCACUGUUUUUGAUACGAUCACACUACUGAGUAAUGUAUCUAUGGACACAGACUUGUUGAAAAGGAGGCAUGACUCACAAUGUUCAUACAAUAUCGUUGACAGCUGGUUCAACCUCUGUAUUACCCAAUUAUAGUAGUGUUCUUUUUUUAGACAGUCUCCAAAAGGAGGGCUUACUGGCCACAAUGUAAAAAUCAAAUAAAAGGAAAGCGAUGCUAUCAAGAUGACAUCACAUAAAAUACUUAAUUCCUGAUUCCACUUGUAUUUCUGCAAACAAAUGAAGUGUAUUUAUUUGUCCAUUUAUUAAUUCAGUUUGCAAAGAUCAGUUUGGAUUCUUCUAAUUUCUUGGCUGCUGUUCAGCUCACUUUUAGCAGCACAGCUUUCUUUUACGUCAGGCUAAGAGGUUACAUCCAUUUCUUUCAGAUACAGACCAAGAAAAUAUGGCUUGUAAAUUGUUACCUCAGCAUUAAAAUGAUCACACUGCAGAUUCUGAGUUUAGUUGGUAAAAUAACUGGAAAUUAUCCACUGCAGAAAUAGGUCAUCUUGAGUGAACAUUUUCAUCAGAACCACGUGAAAUUGUGUUCCAGUAGGUACCCUGCCUGGAAUUUCCAAGCAGAGUUUUAGGGGUUUGGGAUCACAGAACCAGCAAACAGCCCAGAGCUGCUAAACCAGCAGGACUUCUUUUGUUCUGAGGGAAGAUUCUUCAGGAUUUCUUUAGCAAAAGCAGAAUUUCCAAGCGCUCUCUCACCUCACAAGUUUACAGAAUAUGUGAUAAAAGUCAAAUUUCCCCCUACGGGAGGGUAUUGUGCUCUAUAGUUAUCCUGGAUUUUCUUUUGCCCAUCCACUUUGUUUUCAAAACGUUGCUGAAGGUUGCAUCUUUUUUUUUUUUUUUUUUAAUGCUGAUGAUAUUUGACGUAUGGCAAAUACAGCUAAGGAAGCUCUUAAAUAUCUAAAUAUCUACCGAAACUCAGGAGUAUGUAAAGCUCGGAUCAAUGCAUUUGACAAAUACAUAGGAGAAAAACAGUAAUAAAAUAUCACAUCAUCAGAGUUUUGGUUUUUUAUCAUAUUUUUUACUGAAGCCUGCAGCCUGGUAGGAAGAUGAAUUGUGAUCCAUAAGUAAAGUGCCUAUUUUUAGAAGACAUUUCAGAAGCCUUUUUGAAUUACACAUAGUACUUAAAAGAUGAUGACCCACAAAUGAAUAACUGGGCUAUUGGUAAGCCAAAGGGAAGUUUGUGCAGUCUGAAAUGACAUCAGCUAUUUCUUUUGGAUGUGGGAACAUUAUCUGGUUACGUAUUCUGGUUACUCAAGGAGGUUUUGGAGUAGUAACCAUUAAAUUAUGGAUAUGCUGAAUCUAGUAAACAUGCAACCAGUUCUCAGAUUUGUUGUGAUGGCAAAUGUGAUGAUUUUGCAAGAGAAACAGAAAGGAGUGAGACUUGUCAACAGAGAGGAAGAGAGGUUAGUAGACAUCUCACUGCCCUCACCCUUCUGUAUACUACAUUUCCUUGUAUUCUUUACAGAAACAGUUGCAGUGCAUGCUAUUCAUACAGCUCUAGAAACAGUUCUAAAAACAGAACCACACAAAGUCACGAGUGGAUUCUUAAUCCUUAUUUCUAUCUCAAGUAGAUCUAAAAAUAGAAUUACUCAGUCCUAAAUAAAUAUUUUUCUUUUCAUAAACCAGUUUCUGGAUGACUAUUAUGACUUAAAUUGUAAUCCAGUAAACCUAUUUUUAGUGAGCUGGCGAUUAUUGAUGAAGAGUUAUUCAAGAGUGCAAGCAGGAUGAGAUCAGGCACAGAGUUCAUGAGUUAAAAAAAAAAAAAAAACAGCUGUGGAAAAACAAGUCCUUAAAAUGCAACAUGUGUAAAUAUAAAUUCAGUAUUUUUAAGUUAUGCAUCUUCCAGUAAAAUCCUGUGCCAAAAAUUAAUACUUACAUAUGCAGACACUCUGAAGACAGUAGAAGUAAUGCUUAUUUCUUUCGUUUCGGGAUUCUUUUGAACACUGAAAUACAAGGGAAUGAAACGUACUUAAUAUUUACAGUAAUCACAGAACAUUACAAUCCUUCAUUUAGUGUAUUUUUUACACACACACUGUGUAACACAUUUUUAACAUACACACUGUGCCCUUGCUCAGAUUUGAUCAAGUUAAAAUUAAUGGUUAAAAUUCAACUCGUUACACUGACCCUGAGAAGGCACACUGCUGCGCUUAGAUACCAUGGAUAUUAUGACAACUGAAAACUAUAGAAUGAAAAUGAGUCUGGUCAUCUGAGGUGGUUUCAGUGUUCUCAGCUACUAAAUCUCAGCAAUAUUACCAGGCCUAAAUGAGUCCAAUAUGAAGUUUGCAUUUUGAUAGCUAAGAAAAGUCAUUCCGCUAAACAUUUUUUAAAGAUCUUUUCACAUACAUUCAUGAAAAAGCUGUAAUGUAAACUGCAUCUUAACACGGACUUAACAUCUUCAGCAGCAGCAGAAUUCGUAAAGAAAUGAAAACUUAAGGUUAUUUUUUAUUAAUGUAUAAUUGUUUCACAUUCAUUUUUAAUCCUUUAGAAUGUUGCAUAUGCAGACAGCUACGCAAAUUAGGAUGGUAUUUUUUUUCUGAAUUUUUAUAUUCCAGAUGUGUUGUGAAGUCUGACAUUUCUUCCAUCACCAUUACCAAUACUAAGAUAUUAUUACUAACUAAUAUUAUCAACAGUAAGAUGUUAUUGCAGAGUGGCCAAUUACCUCAGCAAUGUAUUUGAAACUGAGAUAUCUUAAGAUGUAUUACUUUUCCUCAGGUCUUCUUUAAGUGAUGCUUAUAUUUCUUUUUCAGUUAGCUCGCGUAACUUCUAUCAGUUUAUCUGAUUGCACAGAUUGCUGCUUAAAUUGAUUCACCAUGGAUUAGUUGAGCCCUUACAGAUUCCACAUUUAUACAGUUCCCAGAAUCUGCUGAGAGUCUGCUUUGUCACAAACAGGUUCAGUUCCUGGGAAAGGUCAGAAAAUAGCCAACUUGGAAGAGGGUGUGUUAAACACAGCCCAGUUGUCCACCUAACCAGCUCCAAGAUAUGACAGCAGUCCCCUAUUACCAAUGCUUUCACAAAGCUGCUUUUUAUAAGGACAAACAAAACCCAACCCACAUUAUUUUUUUAACCAAUUAAAAAAUGACUUCAACUGAUUUCAUCUGCAAAGUAAUGACAGUUGUGGAGGAACUAAAUCUGUACUGUGAAGCAGAUCUUUCCUGUGGUGAGUCAGUAACGAGGCUUUCUCAGAAUUUUUUGCUGUAACUCACAUGUUGAUAUACUCAACAGUGGAUUAAGACAACAGUGCUGAAACUGGUACUGGCCCCAGUUGUCUGCCUUACCACCCCUCGAGAGAUUACUGUCUUCCCAGCAGGGACAGCUCAACUGGUUUGUGACUCAGCUUCUGAACCACCGCACUUUACAGACCAGCAUAUUAAGAUAAACUAAAAUGGAUGUUAGUUUAUGCUAACAUACUGGGCUGUAAACUGCAGCACUGUGUUUGCUGAAAGGGCGACAAGUUUCUGACCAAGGUAUAGCAGGUCGGGGGGUCAGCGACUUCUGCCGUAUAUAUCCAUCCUCAAGAACUACCCUUGUUUUUAGGUUACUUUGACUUCAUUUUCUUCUAUCUGAAAACUUUCAGGUUUCUUAAAUUUUAUGUUAUAUAUAGGAUACCAAAACAAAGGCUGACAGAGAGUAAAUCUUAUUUAUUCCACUGCCUGAAGAAAUUCUCCCCGCGUGUGUGUAGCUUCCUGUAAGUCAUGUUUAUUUCUAGUGCUUUGGUUAACUUUUAGGGCAAAAUAAUAUAUCUGCCAAAAUCAGAUGAGAUUCUUCUCUUGAUGGCUAGAAAGCAACCAGGAUGCUCCCUCUGACAAGUUUCAUUGUGUGGGGGUUAUUGGUUUGUUUUUUUUUUCCCUAAAAGAUUUUAGAAAAAAAAAAUACCUUCUUUUAUUGAAAAGAGCAGUAUUUCCAUUAAAAUACUGUCUCAAUAUCCACUUUGUUCUUUCAGAUUGUUCACUCCUAAACCAUUAAUCGAAUAUGGAAAUUCCUUCAUCAUUUUAAUGUGCAUCUAUCCUCUGGUCAUGAUGAGCAAACUUCCUCAUUGUGAAUCAAUUCACUUUGAGCUCUACUUACAUUCUCACCUUACUCACUGGCAAUGUUUUUUAGGCUUUCAAACCAUUAAACAAACAACCCAAUACUUCACAUAAAUUCAUUUAUCACAGGGGAAAGGAUAUGGAGAUGACACAGAGGAAUACAGAGAACAAUAAUGAUAAGAGAAUACAGCGGUUGUCACCAGAAAGUGACAUUGUCAGAAAAUAACAGGAGUGAGGUACAGAAGACAAGAUUUAUCAGUUCAGAUCACAAAGUUUAAUAGAUUAAGUUUUAAUUGCCACACUUCUGUCACGUCAAUGAUUUAGAUAAACCAAAAAUGCUACAAAUAUUUUUAAUUUUUUCAGGUUAUGCAGAACAUCACA
Molecule: long non-coding RNA, 8973 nt
Filed under: Gallus gallus (chicken)
Lineage: Eukaryota; Metazoa; Chordata; Aves; Galliformes; Phasianidae
Source: RNAcentral